RNAcentral lists this ribosomal RNA (460 nucleotides) under uncultured bacterium. Its description in RNAcentral is "partial 16S ribosomal RNA". It matches the Rfam family "Bacterial small subunit ribosomal RNA", at positions 338 to 795 of the family's 1533-position model. The record is from RNAcentral.
CCUACGGGGGGCUGCAGUGAGGAAUAUUGGUCAAUGGCCGAGAGGCUGAACCAGCCAAGUCGCGUGAGGGAAGAAUGUCCUAUGGAUUGUAAACCUCUUUUGUCAGGGAGCAAAGUCACCCACGUGUGGGUGUUGGAGAGUACCUGAAGAAAAAGCAUCGGCUAACUCCGUGCCAGCAGCCGCGGUAAUACGGAGGAUGCGAGCGUUAUCCGGAUUUAUUGGGUUUAAAGGGUGCGUAGGCGGGUUAUCAAGUCAGCGGUAAAAUCCCCGCGCUCAACGUGGGAACUGCCUUUGAAACUGGCAAACUGGAGUGUGUGAGAGGAUAGUGGAAUUCCAGGUGUAGGAGUGAAAUCCGUAGAUAUCUGGAGGAACAUCAGUGGCGAAGGCGACUAUCUGGCACAUAACUGACGCUGAGGAGCGAAAGCGUGGGUAGCAAACAGGAUUAGAUACCCCAGUAGUC